GAAUAUUGGACAAUGGGCGCAAGCCUGAUCCAGCAAUACCGCGUGUGUGAAGAAGGGUUUCGGCUCGUAAAGCACUUUCAGUAGGGAGGAAAGGUUGUAAGUUAAUACCUUGCAGCUGUGACGUUACCUACAGAAGAAGCACCGGCUAACUCCGUGCCAGCAGCCGCGGCAAUACGGAGGGUGCAAGCGUUAAUCGGAAUUACUGGGCGUAAAGCGCGCGUAGGCGGAGGGUUAAGUUUCAUGUGAAAGCCCUGGGCUCAACCUGGGAACUGCAUGGAAUACUGGUCAUCUAGAAUACAGGAGAGGGUAGUGGAAUUUCAGGUGUAGCGGUGAAAUGCGUAGAGAUCUGAAGGAACAUCAGUGGCGAAGGCGACUACCUGGACUGAUAUUGACGCUGAGGUGCGAAAGCGUGGGGAGCAAACAGG
Molecule: ribosomal RNA, 425 nt
Filed under: uncultured bacterium
Lineage: Bacteria
Description: bacterial SSU rRNA
Rfam family: Bacterial small subunit ribosomal RNA
Source: RNAcentral